AUUGAACGCUGGCGGCAUGCCUUACACAUGCAAGUCGAACGGCAGCACGGGUGCUUGCACCUGGUGGCGAGUGGCGAACGGGUGAGUAAUACAUCGGAACGUACCUUAUCGUGGGGGAUAACGCAGCGAAAGUCGCGCUAAUACCGCAUACGCCCUGAGGGGGAAAGCGGGGGACCGUAAGGCCUCGCGCGAUUAGAGCGUGCGAUGUCUGAUUAGCUGGUUGGUGAGGUAAAAGCACACCAAGGCGAUGAUCAGUAGCUGGUCUGAGAGGACGAUCAGCCACACUGGGACUGAGACACGGCCCAGACUCCUACGGGAGGCAGCAGUGGGGAAUUUUGGACAAUGGGGGCAACCCUGAUCCAGCAAUGCCGCGUGAGUGAAGAAGGCCUUCGGGUUGUAAAGCUCUUUUGUCAGGGAAGAAACAGCAGCUCUAACACAGUCUGCGAAUGACGGUACCUGAAGAAUAAGCACCGGCUAACUACGUGCCAGCCGCCGCCGUAA
RNAcentral lists this ribosomal RNA (501 nucleotides) under uncultured bacterium. RNAcentral's name for it is "partial 16S ribosomal RNA". It matches the Rfam family "Bacterial small subunit ribosomal RNA", at positions 30 to 523 of the family's 1533-position model. The record is from RNAcentral.